This 991-nucleotide long non-coding RNA is filed under the name Marmota monax (woodchuck). Lineage: Eukaryota; Metazoa; Chordata; Mammalia; Rodentia; Sciuridae. The record is from RNAcentral.
CAAAACUUACAAAUUGUUAACAUUUUUUCUUAAGAGUAUAAAAUGAAGCUAGAUCCAGUAGCACAGACUUGUAAUUCCAGCAACUCUGGAGGCCAGGACAGGAGGAUCCUGAAUUUGAAGCCAGCCUCAGCAACUUACUAAAAACUGAGGCCCAGAAGGUUAAGUGGCUGCUCAAGACUCUUCAGGUGGCAAAAAAACUAAAACCUGAACCCACCUGUGACUCCUAAGCCACUCUAUCCCACUCUAUCCACCAGGCCAGGCCCCUAAACAAGGAGGGAGAGGCUAGAGAUUCGGGAAGCUACCAGAAAGCGACUAUGCCAGUUCUACUGUGCUGCUCUUUGAACACACACCCACUUGGUUAUGCCACAGGUUGUCAGGGAAAGGCGAGCAGGGUGCCACUCACUUCUGUCAGCAUUACUUAACUCAUAGAUAAUGGUGUCAUCACAAAAUGAAAAACAGCGAAUCUGCUCGAGCUUGCCUAGACCCUCUCUGAAAAGGGACGAGGAAUGUACUUGGUGAGUGGGAGCUUUUACCUUUUGUAUUUUAACUUUGAAUCUCGUGACUUUUACUGUUUAAAAAAAUUAACACUGAACAUAUAUAAGUUUUAUUUUCAUCUUAGAAAUAAGAGAAUGAAGAUUAAAUUCAAAGAAAACUUACAUAAUUCUGUGACCCAAAGAUGACCACCAGUAUGUGGACACAAUACCUUGGUGGACCAUUUGGCUUUAAAAUGGGGGUCCGUGCUGGUAUACAUCACGGAGUGCUUGCUGAGCACGCCAAGGCCCUGGGUUGAUCCCCAGCACCACAAAAAGGAGAAAAAAAAUUUUUGAAAACGGGUUCUAUGAUAAAUAUAAAAGCAUGAUCUGUUCUUCACUACAGUAGCCCUGAGGGCAGCUUCCCGCAGCAGGAGCCCACCUCAUGGUGGACUGCUCACGUACUCAUCUCUCCUUAGUAACCAAACCCUAAUUCCAUGUGAUGUACCAAUCUUGGUUGU